GAAGGGUUAAGGGUAGUGGGAGUUGGCACCCAGACCACUCCAAUGGGCAGAAGUGGUCUGGGUGCCUGGAGUGUCCCUUUAAUGUGCUGGUGUCCCAAACUUGUGAGCUGUGUUGGCCACUGGGCGCCUCUGUUGUCAUGGCACUCUACGUGACCCCACAGCUUGCACACCUCAAAGGCUGGCUCUGCUGACAGACACACUGGCACUCACUCUCAAUAGCACACACACAAACCCUGGCAAACACUCACUGACAGGCAGACACAGACACACACACAAACCCUGACAGACAAACACUCACUGACAGGCAGACACAGACACAUACACACACACACACACACACACACACACAC
Molecule: non-coding RNA, 350 nt
Organism: Pelobates cultripes (western spadefoot toad)
Lineage: Eukaryota; Metazoa; Chordata; Amphibia; Anura; Pelobatidae
Source: the annotation of a GenBank genome assembly